UACGGAGGGGGCUAGCGUUGUUCGGAAUUACUGGGCGUAAAGCGUGCGUAGGCGGUUCUCCAAGUCCGUUGUGAAAUCCCCGGGCUUAACCUGGGAAUGGCAGUGGAAACUAGGGGACUUGAAUCUGGCAGAGGGGGGUGGAAUUCCACGUGUAGCAGUGAAAUGCGUAGAGAUGUGGAGGAACACCGAUGGCGAAGGCAGGUCUCUGGGCCAUAACUGACGCUGAGAAGCGAAAGCAUGGGGAGCGAACAGG
Molecule: ribosomal RNA, 253 nt
Filed under: uncultured bacterium
Lineage: Bacteria
Description: partial 16S ribosomal RNA
Rfam family: Bacterial small subunit ribosomal RNA
Source: RNAcentral